UGGGGAAUAUUGCACAAUGGGCGCAAGCCUGAUGCAGCCAUGCCGCGUGUGUGAAGAAGGCCUUCGGGUUGUAAAGCACUUUCAGCGAGGAGGAAGGGUAGUGUGUUAAUAGCACAUUGCAUUGACGUUACUCGCAGAAGAAGCACCGGCUAACUCCGUGCCAGCAGCCGCGGUAAUACGGAGGGUGCAAGCGUUAAUCGGAAUUACUGGGCGUAAAGCGCACGCAGGCGGUUUGUUAAGUCAGAUGUGAAAUCCCCGCGCUUAACG
RNAcentral lists this ribosomal RNA (267 nucleotides) under uncultured bacterium. RNAcentral's name for it is "partial 16S ribosomal RNA". It matches the Rfam family "Bacterial small subunit ribosomal RNA", at positions 355 to 614 of the family's 1533-position model. The record is from RNAcentral.